Long non-coding RNA from Capra hircus (goat), 4732 nucleotides. RefSeq lists it as uncharacterized. The transcript has 4 exons. The record is from RefSeq and is a predicted model, not a curated record. NCBI's taxonomy places the organism in Eukaryota, Metazoa, Chordata, Mammalia, Artiodactyla, Bovidae.
AUAGAACCAGAGAAAAGGAGAAAAAAGAAAUUUGGUUAGAAGGCUACAUGGUCCAAACCCAGGAGGGGUGAUGAGAACAAAAGGUGCUGGGAGGUGCCCGAAGUUGAGUGGGACAGACUCAGCCAGACACAGGCUGCCGGCUGGAAUCACUGCCAGUGGGCUUAUCCAGCUGCGGAUUCUUUUCUGUCAACUGAAAAGGAAAACACUUCAUUGGAAGGUGCUUAGGACUCUUGCAGCUCGUGUCUCAGACAAGAGGCCGGGUCUUUCUGCAGCAAGCCCCCAGCCAUCCCUACCCCAACGCCUGGCAAGAAUUUCCAUGUUACAGGAAGCAGCACAGAGUUACAUAGUGAAACUGGUGGAUCUUUACCAUUGAGCCACCUGGGAAGCCCAGUCCUGCUAACAGGUUGCCUUAGCUCCUUGAUGGCCUCCUCCACAAGCGCCCCUGGACACUUCUUGGGAACUGCAAGGCUCCAGGAGACGUAAGAGAUGGAGAGUUCGAUUUCUGGACUGGGAAGAUGCUCUGGAGGAGAGCACGGCAAUCCACUUCCGUAUUCUUGCCCGGAGAAUCACAUGGACAAAGGAGCCUGGCUAAACCACACGGACCUCUGGCUACUCUAUGAUCAUAUCACCCCACGGCCUUUGCCUCUCCACUCUGCCUGGAACAUUUUUUUCACUGCUCUAUUCAUGGCUGGGUUUGAGACCAAAUUCAGCUACCAACAACUUAGUUAUAUUUGAAUGACCCAUUUCUCAAUCACGUGACUCUCUCUGACUAUUGUCCUGCAAAUGGGGUUUUAAGCACAGACCCCUUGAGAUGGAAGCCUCUGACUGAAAAACCUGAAGAUGGAAAUGAGCCAUGUGCCUACCUGAGGAGGACAUUCUGGGCAGAGAGAAAGGCCACUGCAAAGUGGUUCUGCCUGGUGUGUGGUGAAGUGAAGCAGAGGAAAAGGAAAACUGAAGAAAAGUUCAAGAGCCCAAAUCUGACAAUUCAAGGAGGGGGAAAAAAAAAAAAUCAGUUGCUGGUUAAGGAUAACCUGGAAUAUGGCUAAAAAUUGUGAAGAGGCCAAAACACUCAACUUAAGUCAGCAGCUCUGGGUGAAGCCUGGACUAGGCACAUGUGGACUGUGUGAUCUGGGAGGGGCGAUGGGUCAGACAAGCUGGUGGCAGAAGGGCCUGCCGAACAAAAACAAAAAAUGGGAACUCAUAAUGGGGAGAAAGAGCCUGAGGGCCAGAACUCCAGGACUUCAGGAGCUUGGCACCUAGAAGCCCCCACGGAGGUUAGAGAGCAUUACAUUGUAAUUAAUGAUGGUGGCAGAGGGAUUCAAGGAACUCAUUUCAUGAUCUAAAUAUAAGAAAUGAAGCUUGCUCCAUCUGACUGGAUGGUGACUAUCAGACAUGCCAUCUCUCAUCUCUAAGGAGGAUGAGAAAAAAAAAAAAUAAGGAGGAUAAAAUGGCAAAGAUGGGAUAACCAAGUGGAGCUGGACCAUUUUCAAGGUGUAGCUUCAGCAAGGCUUCAUGACAGAUGACUUUAAGGAACAAGUACCACACUGAGGUUACAACAAGGGGAUCCCUGAGGAGUCACCCCAGAACCACAGAGAACUGCGGGGUUCUGAAGAGUUUCAAAGGAUGCUAGUUGUAUUCCAUGUACAAAUAAAGAAAAUGAGGUCGGGAGAGGGAAAGCAACUGACCUAAGAUCACACAGAGAAGUGCGAGGGAAGCUGGGUAUCCUUUUCUACUACCUGAUUCCAUGUCUCUCGGCACCUUGCCUGCAGCGGAUACAAACAUGAUCCGGUGAAGAAAUCUCCCUGAAGACUGAAGAACUCAUUUAACCUUGUGGACAUAAAUCUAAUCCUGACGCUGCCCAGCUCAGAAUCCUCCAGUGGCUUCUCAUUUCAUUUACAGUAAAAUCCAAGCUUCACAGCCAUGAGGCCCUCCAGGAUCUAACUCUGCAGCCCAACUUCUCUCCACCCUCUCCCUUGUUGACCAUCACCUUCUUCCUCACCUUUCUGUGAUUUUUUCCUUCCUGUGUUUACUUAUUUACUGUUGGUCUCUUCUCAAGAGUUGGAUAAUUCCACAAGAGAAAAAUACCGCAUCUUUUUUGGGUACCCUGUACAUCCAGCAACUAAAACACUGCCCAGAACAGAGCAGAUGCCCAACCACUGUGAAAAGAGAAUGAAGGAACAAACACAGCAGCUGGUGUAUUUUAAAUAACCAAUAAAUCCUAGAUUUCUUCAUGGCCGUGUCACCAUCAAUCGUGAGAUGAAUCAUUACUUCAAAAGUCAUUAAUAAAGGCAACAAGUUGCUAAUUAAUGGUCAUAGCUAUACAAUCUGUGUAAUUAGUUAACAGUAGCCUUUUUUUUUUUUUUUAAAGCAAACGAGAAACUCUAUUACACCAAGACUGUGGCUCCUUACUGCAUCCCCGGGGCCCAGGACAGUACCUGAGAGAAAAAGCCCACUACACAGGGCUGAAAACAUUGAUCAAAGCAAGUCACUAAGGAGCUCUAAUUCAGAAGUAGGGAUACUGUGCCCCGAGGCCAAAUCCUCUCUAGAACCUGCUUUUGUGAAUAAAGUUUUACUGGAGCACCGCCAUGCCAUUGCCUAUGGCUGCUUUCUGGCUAAAACUGGGCAGGUGAGUUGUUGCAGCACACAAUGGAUGGCCGGCAGAACCUAAAAGAUUUUGCCAUCAAUCCUUUUACUGAGCAAGUUUGCUGACACUUGCUCCUUUGUGAAGGGUAGGGUGUUUAGAAGGGAUGGGGACAAGCAAUCCUAUUCAAAUGUAAAUGGAGCAAACUAAAUGGUAACUCAGAGAUGUGUGGAGCUUAUUUCUGCCUCUGAAAGUCUCUGCCAGUGGGCAGAGAAUUUAAUACAUGCCCCUUGGCCUUCACCAUGGGCGUGGUCUGAGAAAACCUGAGAAGUUCCCACGAUGGCAUCUUACUGCAGGGUCUGAGCAAGGGCGGCUUAAGCAGGAGAGAGCUCACCUGAUAAUCAGACUCCUGAAUUCAAGGACCUAGGGUGGCCCUCCAAGGUUAACAGCCACUUUACGCAGGUUCAAAGACAUCUAACCACCUUGAGUUUAAUGGCAGCUUCAGAUGGCCAAAUGUGAUAUUUUGAUUUAAAGACUGAUGUUGAAGUGAAGCACAUGCUGACAUUGAGAUUUCCAAAGAGAAACUACCCAAAGAGCACAGAGUCCCAUCAACAAUUAGAAGGCACACGACACAGAUUAUACAGUUAUAUAGUGACAGAGACCCAGUGUUAGCAGUGAGCAGUUUCACUGCCUGCCUCUCUCCCUGACACGGUUCUGGUGGCAUAACUGACACGGGUGUGUAUAUUCUUUUAGACACUCAGUUAAUGACCUAAUUCACAGAGGAGAAACCUAGGCAGAAACCCAGAGUUGAGUGAUUUUGACAAUAAUUAGGAAGACAGUCGAGGAUGGAAAUGAAAACUGGUCCAGCAGAAUGAAUCUGAGUCUAAUACUAAUGGGUUCAAAUCACUGUUUCACUGCCAUGAGCUGGGACAAAUGAGACAGCUCUAUGAGGCUCAGUUUAUCCAUCUGUACCAUGGGUUCAGAAUUCAUAUCUCCCUGGGCUCCUGUUGAGAUUAAAUGACACUCUAUGUUUAAAACAUCCAGGUACAGCUCAGCACACAGCAAGAAGUUAACAGAUAAAAGGUUCCCCUUUCUUCCUUUCAGCCUCUUUCUGGUUCCUGGUCCACUCCCCUGAGCCCUCACCUCGAAGGGACCGGCUAUCCCGAAUCAAAUUUGUGAACAUUUUCUCCCUCACUUAAUUUGAUUUUUGAAUGACCCAACUAAGUCAAGCAACACACAUUCUAUUUCAAUAGCCAGGUGGUGAUGGGGCAGAACUCAGAGAUCCACAAUCAUUUCCUAUCACCUCAUGGCCUCCAUCAUACCCACAUCAACAAGUAACAGGGACUUCCCCGUUGGCCCAGUGGCUAAGACUCCAGACUCCCAAUGCAGGGGGCCCAGCUUCCAUCCCUGGUCAGGGAACUAGGUCCCACGUGCCGCAACUCAGAGUUCACCUGCUGCAACUAAAUAUCCUGCAUGCUGCAAUGAAGACUGAAGAUCCCAGUGCUGCAGGUAGGACCCCGUGCAGACAAAUUAAAAAUAAAUUAAUUAAAAAACAAAAAAAUACCCAAGUAACCACAGUAACUUGUCGCUAGGGGUGGGGGAGGGCAGUGAAAACCGCUGACACUGGAUGCUGACCGUGUCCCAGGCACAAAUAUGUACAGUAAGUCACUGGCUCCGCGAGACAAACCAGGAAGUGGUGUUACUAUUACCACUGUACAUGGCUGAGAACAUUUAAACACAAAGAGAUGAAGUGAUCUGUGCAGGCUGUACAACUACUCAAAAGCAGAACUGAAACUCAAACCCAGAGCAUCUGCUCUUGGCCAUGACAUGACCUUGCCUCUACUACACCAAGGUGACGUGCACAGACUAGGGUAGCAAAGUCACCCCAGGGAGCCCCAAGCACUUGACCAAGUGCUUCUGCAGGACACGGUGGAGACAUCUGAAAACUGUCCCUUUGCUCUCCACACCAGUAAAACAACCAGGAAAAGGGCAUUUCUCUGGGGUCCCACAGUCCUGUUCUCAUGAUGACAUAUUGAUAAAGAAGGCUGGCUAAAUGAGAAGGAGCCUCCCAAUUCAAAUCUAACCUAAAAGGAAUCACUUCUGAAGGCUUUUUCUGUCUCAAUGAUUGUUAACAGCGUUAUUAGUGAUAAA